RNAcentral lists this ribosomal RNA (494 nucleotides) under uncultured bacterium. Its description in RNAcentral is "partial 16S ribosomal RNA". It matches the Rfam family "Bacterial small subunit ribosomal RNA", at positions 28 to 523 of the family's 1533-position model. The record is from RNAcentral.
GAUGAACGCUAGCGGCAGGCUUAACACAUGCAAGUCGAGGGGUAUAGUUCUUCGGAACUAGAGACCGGCGCACGGGUGCGUAACGCGUAUGCAAUCUACCUUUUACAGGGGAAUAGCCCAGAGAAAUUUGGAUUAAUGCCCCAUAGUAUAGUUUAUUCGCAUGAGUAGAUUAUUAAAGUUCCAACGGUAAAAGAUGAGCAUGCGUCCCAUUAGCUAGAUGGUAAGGUAACGGCUUACCAUGGCGACGAUGGGUAGGGGUCCUGAGAGGGAGAUCCCCCACACGGGUACUGAGACACGGACCAGACUCCUACGGGAGGCAGCAGUGAGGAAUAUUGGUCAAUGGACGCAAGUCUGAACCAGCCAUGCCGCGUGCAGGAUGACGGUCCUAUGGAUUAUAAACUGCUUUUGUACGAGAAGAAACACUGCUACGUGUAGCAGCUUGACGGUAUCGUAAGAAUAAGGAUCGGCUAACUCCGUGCCAGCAGCCGCCGUAA